This is a non-coding RNA of Gymnothorax javanicus (giant moray), 70 nucleotides long. The record is from the annotation of a GenBank genome assembly. NCBI's taxonomy places the organism in Eukaryota, Metazoa, Chordata, Actinopteri, Anguilliformes, Muraenidae.
GCACAGUGGUGCAUUGGCUAGCACAGUUACCUUACAAUGAGGAGGUUCUGGGUUUGAGCCUCAGCUGGCA